ACCCUGUUACGUAUACUGAAGGUAUACCGGACAGUUUUAUAAUGCACUCAGGAUACAUUUAGUAUACGUACAGGGU
Non-coding RNA from Acyrthosiphon pisum (pea aphid), 76 nucleotides. The record is from Rfam. NCBI's taxonomy places the organism in Eukaryota, Metazoa, Arthropoda, Insecta, Hemiptera, Aphididae.